This 464-nucleotide ribosomal RNA is filed under the name uncultured bacterium. RNAcentral describes it as "bacterial SSU rRNA". It matches the Rfam family "Bacterial small subunit ribosomal RNA", at positions 331 to 792 of the family's 1533-position model. The record is from RNAcentral.
CCAGACUCCUACGGGAGGCAGCAGUGAGGAAUAUUGGUCAAUGGGCGGGAGCCUGAACCAGCCAAGUCGCGUGAGGGAAGACUGCCCUAUGGGUUGUAAACCUCUUUUGUCAGGGAGCAACGCCGGCUACGUGUAGCCGGACUGAGAGUACCUGAAGAAAAAGCAUCGGCUAACUCCGUGCCAGCAGCCGCGGUAAUACGGAGGAUGCGAGCGUUAUCCGGAUUUAUUGGGUUUAAAGGGUGCGCAGGCGGAGGUGCAAGUCAGCGGUCAAAUUGCGGGGCUCAACCCCGUACUGCCGUUGAAACUGGCGUUCUUGAGUGGGCGAGAAGUAUGCGGAAUGCGUGGUGUAGCGGUGAAAUGCAUAGAUAUCACGCAGAACUCCGAUUGCGAAGGCAGCGUACCGGCGCCCAACUGACGCUGAAGCACGAAGGCGUGGGUAUCGAACAGGAUUAGAUACCCCUGUA